GAUGAACGCUGGCGGCGUGCCUAAUACAUGCAAGUCGAGCGAACAGAUGAGUAUCUUGCUCCUCUGACGUUAGCGGCGGACGGGUGACUAACACGUGGAUAACCUACCUAUAUGACUUGGCUAACUUCGGGAAACCGUAGCUAAUACCGGAUAAUAUAUUUAACCGCAUGGUUCAAUAGUGAAUGACGGUUUUGCUGUCACUUAUCGAUUGAUCCGCGCCUCAUUAGCUAGUUGGUUAGGUAACGGCUUACCAAGGCAACGAUGCGUAGCCGACCUGAGCGGGGGAUCGGCCACACUGGAACUGAGACACGGUCCAGACACCUACGGGAGGCAGCAGUAGGGAAUCUUCCGCAAUGGGCGAAAGCCUGACGGAGCAACGCCGCGUGAGUGAUGAAGGUCUUCGGAUCGGAAAACUCUGUUAUUAGGGAAGAACAAAUGUGUAAGUAACGAUGCACGGCGUGACGGUACCGAAUCAGAAAGCCACGGCUAACUACGUG
RNAcentral lists this ribosomal RNA (497 nucleotides) under uncultured bacterium. RNAcentral's name for it is "partial 16S ribosomal RNA". It matches the Rfam family "Bacterial small subunit ribosomal RNA", at positions 28 to 507 of the family's 1533-position model. The record is from RNAcentral.